GUGGCUGGUUCCAUUUUCUCAGGUUACAAGAGUGUAUGGUCAUCCACUCCUUUUGCAAAGGAUUUGAGUCUAUUCUGAAGGUUAGUGAGGCAGCUGCAACUUCUCUGCUGCAACAAGGAGAAUCCCAGACCAUGAGGCAGUAGAAAGACUAUUUAACCAGGAGUCAGGAUGCUUAAUCUGAGUCCUGGGAGGUACAAUAGUUAUCCACUCUUCACAGAUGAAGAAACUGUGGAAUAAAGAAAGUAAGUAACGAACUAAGGAAAUCAAGAGACGGAGAUGUGAAGUGACUUGGGUGCCUGGACUAAAAGAUGAAGUCUCCCUACUUUACCAUGCCUGACCAUGGCCUGGUACUUUCUCUCCUUCUGAGAAUGAUACUAUUACAUAACUGUUUGGGGAAGCCCCCAGACCAAGGACACUUCCUUCUGCCCAGCUGUGUGAGACAUUCUUGGGUGGAAUCAGGAAGAUGGCCACUUUCACAUCAACUGGGGAGGCCCAAGACCUACCUUUCUUCUCCCCACACUCCCACUGCCCACACCCUGCUCUUCGUGUGGUCUCUGCUAUUGAGCAAAGGGUGAAUGAGGGAAGUAAUCUCUGGUCUCUCUCUGGUUCUCUGCCUCAAAGAAUGUCCCAGCCAUCAUCUACCCUACACCCCUGUCCCCAAAGCACUCUUCCUUUUGCUUCUCCAUCAGUGUGGCCUCUUCUGUGAAGUUCUCUAACCAUGGGUUUCCCCAACACCUCCUCUCUAUCCACAGGCUGCCCCUCAUCAUCAUCUUCAUCUCAGAAAAUGAGACAAAAAAGACAUUCAAGUGACUCAUCAGUCCACAUAGCAGGAGCAGAAGCAGAGAGAGUGAAUCUGUAGGUCCAGAUGAGGAUUUCUGCAGGCCUCUUGACUGUUUCACAAGAUCUGCUGAGAUUCAUGACAGAUAAGAUAUAAAAAGCUGAGUGGUGCCA
Myotis lucifugus (little brown bat) is the source of this 951-nucleotide long non-coding RNA. RefSeq lists it as uncharacterized. NCBI's taxonomy places the organism in Eukaryota, Metazoa, Chordata, Mammalia, Chiroptera, Vespertilionidae. The transcript has 3 exons. The record is from RefSeq and is a predicted model, not a curated record.